GGAGAGGUACCGAAGUGGCCAUAACGGCGCCGACUCGAAAUCGGAUGGUCUGGGAAACCAGGCACGGGGGUUCGAAUCCCCCCCUCUCCGCCA
RNAcentral lists this transfer RNA (93 nucleotides) under Zoogloeaceae bacterium. RNAcentral's name for it is "tRNA-Ser". It matches the Rfam family "tRNA". Rfam says of the family: Transfer RNA (tRNA) molecules are approximately 80 nucleotides in length. Their secondary structure includes four short double-helical elements and three loops (D, anti-codon, and T loops). Further hydrogen bonds mediate the characteristic L-shaped molecular structure. tRNAs have two regions of fundamental functional importance: the anti-codon, which is responsible for specific mRNA codon recognition, and the 3' end, to which the tRNAs corresponding amino acid is attached (by aminoacyl-tRNA synthetases). tRNAs cope with the degeneracy of the genetic code in two manners: having more than one tRNA (with a specific anti-codon) for a particular amino acid; and 'wobble' base-pairing, i.e. permitting non-standard base-pairing at the 3rd anti-codon position. The record is from RNAcentral. Lineage: Bacteria; Pseudomonadati; Pseudomonadota; Betaproteobacteria; Rhodocyclales; Zoogloeaceae.